This is a long non-coding RNA of Mus musculus (house mouse), 3824 nucleotides long. RefSeq annotates it as predicted gene, 32487. Lineage: Eukaryota; Metazoa; Chordata; Mammalia; Rodentia; Muridae. The record is from RefSeq and is a predicted model, not a curated record. The transcript has 3 exons.
AGGGAGCUUGCCGUGUGAGCCUGAUGACCUGAGUGUGACCCUCAGAACCCACCUCCAGAUCUCCAGACGCUUCUGCUUUCCAGGUCCCCUGUGAGCACGAGAUGGGUUUCUUCCCCCAAAUUCUUAAAAAGAAAAACAAGAACCUGAAUGGCAGUCGGCACUGGCAGAAGUUGGCCUCUUCAUUGUGAAGUGAGGAAGGAGACUGCAAAAGGAAAUGGGAAGACAGCAGAUAUACAGAUAGCCGCGCUGGUGCUCAUCCAGUGUCACAAGGAAGCAUUAAGUUCCAGCUCCCCGAAGGAUCCCUGGAUGAAGUCUCCUGAGCACAAAGGACAGAGAGACAAGAAGGGCAGCCUCGUGUACCUCUGACCAUGUGUGUUGUACUGCUGGAACCUUCUCAGCCCUUGCUGUCAGGCCCAGAACAUUCUGGAAAGGUGGAGGUGCAGGCUGGACAAGCUCUGUGAAUUGCCCAAGGUCAUGAGAUUGGAGCCAGAGUCAGAGCCUGGUUCGGAACCCAAGGCUUUCUGAUACCCCAGUCGUCUUCACUCUCUAUCUCUCUAUCUCUCUGCCUCUUUGUUGCUCUGUCUCUGUCUGUCUCUGUGUCUGUCUCUGUCUGUCUGUCUGUCUGUCUGUCUGUCUGUCUGUCUGUCUGUCUCUGUCUCUGUCUCUGUUUCUCUGUCUGUCUCUGUCUGUCUGUCUGUCUCUGUCUCUGUUUCUCUGUCUGUCUGUCUGUCUCUCUCUCUCUCUCUCUCUCUCUCUCUCUGCUUGUGCUGUCCACUGGAUGUCUUCUCAGUAGCUCUCACACCUAUCUUAUAUCUAUAAGGUUCCCUAGGACAGGAAGGUGCCAUUUAUCAGCCUGCUUCAUAGAUGAGAAGCUGAGACUUGAGCUAAGUCAGCUGCCCGAGGUCUGGGCAGGAACCAACUCAGACCCAUGUUGUUUAGCUUUGCUGUGCUACCUUAACCUCUGCCAAAAAACACCCAAGAUGCUGCUGCCAAUAAUUCACACCUCUCUUCUCUUUCUGGAAACACUCACCUCAGAGCAGUGAGGGACCUGACUAUGCCCAGCACCCAGGGGCUGGGGCCCAGUGUGAGGCUGGGGAGAAGCCACGUUCGCCCAUACUGGAAACCCAACACCAGCCUCCUUCUUCUCGCUUGAAAGUGCUCUAGAGUUUCUGUGCUCACAAUGCAUCCCUUUGGAAGGCUGCCCUCCAAGGGUUGCCAUGGUGACUAUUUUGGUACUGCAUGCUAGAAAAAGCUGAGGCACCUGCUGGUCACACCACCAAAACUUGUCUCUGAAAAAUCAGCAGAUGGCGUUUGUCAGAAAUUCCUGCUUCUUGAUUAAUUUGGGAAAGAGGAGAGUGUGUGGCAGUGCCAAUAUCCUUUAACCUGGAUGGUUCGUGUUGGUGUUGGGGGAGAAGAUGGAGGGCAACUGUGUGGAGAACCUAUUCUUCUCACAUGCUGGGUCACUUUUUUCCCACAGAGGCAGAGAAAUGUGGUAGUUUGGAGUCUGGUGAGCAAAAGAAGGCGAAGGCCAUGGUUUUGCUUUCCUAUUAAAGGGUGUUGGAAUUUCAGGUUCUGCUCUGAAAAGGUUCUAUUGAAGCCUGAGCUAACCUGGAGCUCACCAUAUAGCCCAGGCUAGCCUCAAACUCAGCAAAUUGACUUGCUGGAGCCUCCCAAGUGUUGGGAUGGGAGGCACGGAUACCAGGAUUGGUUCCAUGGGUUCUGAAACUAGGUCUCAGAUUGGGUCUAGUGUUUUUAAUUAGAUGAGUGGCAAGCAUGGCUUGUAUUUAAAUCUCACUUCUGUCACUACCAAUUGUGUGACUAGCAAUUUCCCCGUCUCACCUGCACCUCUGCUUCCUCAUGUGUAAAGCAGGGAUGCUAAUCUUUAUCCCACAGAAAUUCAGCACAAUCUUAGCAGCCCUCAGCCUCGGCAUGGGAGGACUGGCCACUUUAUCGGCGGUUUACACAGAGCUUUGUAGCUGGGCUUAUGAAAACAAACCAAUUUCGCUGUCAGCCUAAGCAGUGGUAUUGUGACUGGAGCAAGACAGAAAACACAACAGAAACUCCUGGGUGCCCAUUGUGCAGCGUGCCCCCCAUGUUAGCUGUCUUCUUCAGCUUUCCUAGGAACUUACUCCCCCACUGCUCUUACGCUGGCAGUCAGGCACCCUGUCACCGCUCCCGUCUGUCACUUCCUAGCCUUUCCUAGGAAGCUCUGACUAUGGGUGUGGGGGCAGCUCCUGAGUUGUGCACUGCCGACCACUCAGGGGACAGACGCCAACAGGAGGUGUGUGCGGACUUAGUUAUGUGGCUUUUAGCUUCCACCAGUUGCUUCUCUAUGGAGAAGAAGGCUCAAAGUUCCCACCAGCAGUUUCUCCUUACCAUGAGCGUGAUAGAUCAAGGUUGGCAAAAUGGAGGUUCCUGUUCGCUCCUGUGUGACCAGGUGUAGCUAGCCAAUUUCUUCUCACUUGGCUGGAGGGCCUAAGAAUCUUCUAGAAGACAGUAUCCAAGGCAGCUGCUACUAACUGAACAGAGCACAGGAAAGUAAAUCUCUUAUCUUGAUAUACAGGAAAGGAGCAAGGAAUAGAAGUCAAAAUAGGUAAGGCUGCUUGCAGUGUUGGCUUUAACUAGUUGUGUGAGCUUGGGUGAAUCUUGUCCCUUUCCAAGGCUCGGUUUCUCUCUUUGAAAUGCAUUGAAUUACUUUUCCUAGUGUAUUUUUGAAAUAAUAAAAUAAACUAAAAAAAGAUAAUACAGAAAGCAACACAUUGGGAUUGUAUGAAACAAACAGAAAGAAAAGAGGCCAAGAGAUGGCACGAGAGUCGAAGACCCGCUCAUCUCUACACCCAGGAAUCCCGCAAAAAUACCAAACUGGAAGCCAUAAUAUACACUCAAAGGAUCUGGUGCAGACCUGCGCAGGCCCCAUGUUUGCUGCUUCUGUCUCUGUGAGUUUAUGUGUUUUGAUCAUGCUGAUUUAGAGGGCCUUGUUUCCUUGGCAUCCUCCAUCUCUUGGUCUGCCGCCUCUUCUAUGAGGUUCCCCCGAGCCCUGAGGAUUUGAUGAAGAUGUCCCAUUCAUCGCUCAGUGUCCCACGGUCUCUGCCUCUCUGCAUAUUGUCUGGGUGUGGCUCUCUGUAUUUAUUCCCAUCUACUGCAGGAGAAAGCGUCUCUGACAGUGGCUGAGUAAGGAACCCGUCUGCUUCCCUGGCCAGCGUCUUCUGCCUAGCUUUAAGUCUCAACAUUCUUCCCUGCCAGCCCCUCCCCCUCUCCCCCCCAUACACACACUCUCCCAUCAGGUGGGCUCCCAACAUUGAACGCAAACUCUGAUCUGUUCCCUUCCUGGGACUUGUCCAAGUGAUCAGAUUUUAUCAAACAUCCUGGGAUGGCCCAGGGCCAAGUUAAACACGCUCAGAUGGUUGGAAUUACCAAAUUACAGCAUGUUUGUGCAGAAAGUCACCUCAUCACACGCUGAGCUGAAGCGUCCAGAGGAGAGGUAGAGAAACCAGAACAAGAAGGCUUAGAGAACUUUUCUCGAGGCCAUGCAGCAAGUUGGGAGCUGAUCUGGUCCCUCUCUGGGAACCCAGCAGGCUUGAGAGCAGAUGCUGUUGAUUUUGAGAAGGGCCAAGAAGACCCUAUCAAAAGGCAAGCCAAGGAAGAUGUUGUGUUGGCUUUGCUGGGGCCCUGACACCCCGUGGGGUGUGCUGAGUGAGGUUCACUGUACACAGCUUAGGAGGGCAGUCAAGGAAGGCCUGUGGAGGUCAGACACCGAGCUCUGCUAUGUGACCCAAGGGUGAUCUUGGAUCCUCUGUGGGCUUCAUUCUCACCUGUAGGAAGAG